Molecule: long non-coding RNA, 486 nt
Filed under: Phoenix dactylifera (date palm)
Lineage: Eukaryota; Viridiplantae; Streptophyta; Magnoliopsida; Arecales; Arecaceae
Description: long non-coding RNA (PDAC_LNC005640)
Source: RNAcentral
AGUUAGCUUUGCUUUUAUUUAAAUCAUUCUUUAUGUUAUUCUUUCUAGAAAUUGUUUUCGUCAUUAUUUAUGGUAUGUUUCUGGUUCUAAUUUACACUUGCAAAAUCCUAUGGCAGCUCAGAGGACCCAAGUGUAUAAGUAUUAUGCUCGUACUACUCAAUAUUCAUUUUAAAGUUAGUUACUUAUGGAAACUUUAUGUCCCAUAUCUAUGUAUGAAAUGUCAAUUCUCACAUGAAGCAUUCUUCAUCGAAAUGUGAAUGAAAGAAAGACCGACCUACCUACCUGUUUUCAGUGGCAAGAUCAAUCAAACAAAAUAGGCUCAAGAGAAGAACCUGUUUUCUUCUUCUUCUUCAACUAUAUCCCAUCGUAUACAUCGCCCUAUAUGAAAAUAUGAAUGUACCCCUAUCUAUUCAACUCUUAGGUGGGCCUGCACGCACCUUUUUAGGUUAUCCGGAAGGAAUGGAAUGACUAAUGUGAUGUGAAANN